This is an RNA transcript of Durio zibethinus, 1029 nucleotides long. It is a transcript of the gene named Photosystem II reaction center PsbP family protein, with no coding region annotated. The record is from RefSeq and is a predicted model, not a curated record. NCBI's taxonomy places the organism in Eukaryota, Viridiplantae, Streptophyta, Magnoliopsida, Malvales, Malvaceae.
AAGCGUUGGUUAGUUAAUAAACGCCCAAUCCAAUCCAAUCCAAUCCAGUCCAGCAAAAGCAAAGCUAAAAACAAUGGCGUCAGUGUAUUGGCAUUGCUGCUAUAUCUCACCUUGUUUCAACAAGAACGGCGUAAUCGCAAAUACCAAAAGAAAGCAACCCGUACUCAGCUACAAGUACUACAGCCACCGCCCACAACAUGAACAAAAUAAUAAACCCUUUCAUGAAGAAGCACUGGAAGAAGAUGGGCAUGGCCAUGCAACUAGAUCUACUAGAAGAAGACAAAUUGUGCUUCAGGCGCCUCUUAUUUCCAUUUCUUUGCCGCAAUUAUUUAUGUCUGACUCUAAUGUACUGGCUCUCCCAGGGAAUGAUGUGCCACAAAAUUUCCGGGAGUAUACUGAUGACGUCAAUAAGUUCAGGAUUUUUAUUCCCCAAGAUUGGCAAGUGGGAGCUGGUGAACCCAAUGGAUUCAAGUCCAUUACUGCUUUCUACCCAGAAGAAGCUGCCAACUCAAAUGUCACCGUCGUCAUCACGGGGCUUGGCCCGGAUUUUACUAGAAUGGAAUCAUUCGGCAAAGUUGAAGCUUUUGCGGACACUCUGGUUAGUGGACUGGAUAGGAGCUGGCAAAGGCCUCCAGGUGUGGCAGCAAAACUCAUAGAUUGCAAAGCUGGUAAUGGCUUCUACUAUAUUGAGUACACAUUGCAAAAUCCAGGAGAAAGUCGAAAACAUUUGUUUUCUGCUAUUGGAAUGGCAUCCAAUGGUUGGUACAACAGACUAUACACUGUCACAGGACAGUUUGUGGAAGAAGAGGCAGAGAAAUAUGGUUCCAGAAUUGAGAAGGUAGUUUAAUCAAUAAUAUACAAGAAAGCUAGAACUUUUUGCAUCUUCAGGUUCUUGUGGUUCCAAUUAUAGAAUUAAGAGAAAGCAAGCCCUGCAUCUCAUUAUUUCUUUCAGAAAAAGCCCUGGCUGUAUCAUCCUUCAAAUUCAUUUGAAGCAACAAUCACAGAUUAAGAAGUCACUCCUCCCUUCAU